Molecule: long non-coding RNA, 1146 nt
Organism: Mesocricetus auratus (golden hamster)
Lineage: Eukaryota; Metazoa; Chordata; Mammalia; Rodentia; Cricetidae
Exons: 3
Source: RefSeq, a predicted model, not a curated record
AAUACAUAAAUAAGAAAAUUAGCUUUCCAUAUCGUAGGUUUCUUUGAUAAUUCUUAGUAGCUUCCUUUAUGCCCUUAUAAAAAUGUUUUAUUAGCAUAUUUAGCUACCCAUAGUAAUGGGCUUCAUUAUAACAUUUCCAUGCACACACUCACAAUGUAUUCCAAUCAUAUUUUCCCCAUUACUCACUGUUUAUGGCCUUUUAAAAAACAACAACAAAAAAAAAAAACCCCACUUCUUAAACAUGUAUCUAUUUAUUUAUUUACUUUUUUUUUCCAGACAGGGUUUCUCUGUAUUGCUUUGGAGGCUGUCCUGGAACUCGCUCUUGUAGACCAGGCUGGUCUCAAACGCACAGAGAUCUGCCUGCCUCUGCUGGGAUUAAAGGCGUGCGCCACCACCGCCUGGCUCAUGUAUGCAUUUAUUUAGAGACGAAGUCCCACGAAGUCACCCAGGGCAGCCUCAUCGUUGGUGUGCAGAUGAGUGUGCCACGGACCCUCUGCUCCUCUCGCCUCCCAUGGCCGAGAACAGUCUCUGCUACAAACCCGUGGACUCUAACGGAUUCCAUCCCUCCUUCCACCGCAUCUCCCACUCAUGCUCUUCCCUUAGUUCCAGAACAGCGCGCCCACCUUUCCAGACUCCAGCUCUCCCUAUUCGGGUCUACUCUGUAGCCAGGCCCUGUUGGUCCUUCUGAACCUCGUGGCUCAGAUGGUGGCACUGGUUUGGAUGGCUGGAGCAGGAGGCGUUACUGGAGAGGAGGGCCUCUAGGGGUGGAUCUAUGUGGGUUAUAGGCCGCCACUGCACCCGACGCAAGCUCUCUGCCUCCUCGUUGGCACCAUCGGGACACCUCCUCCAGAGGCUGUCACCAAACGUGAAUGCUAGCAUGCCUUCUCCACCAGCACGGCUUGGAACCGUGAGCCCACGUGAGCCUUCCUCCAUUAAGUUGCUUCUGUCCCGUAUUCGGCCACAGAAAAGCAAUGGAUGCAAUCAUCUCGCCGAUUUGUAAAGCUUUUAGUUGUGGCAGACGCUGUUAAGACGCGAAAGGAACCAUGCAAGCUGUGGAUGUGAGAAGGGAAAGCGGGACGACUGGAAGGUGUCUGGGGUGAACAGAAAAGCCCACAAAAGGCUAUCGCCAAAUAAACAAAAAAAAUA